CCUACGGGUGGCAGCAGUGGGGGAUAUUGCACAAUGGGGGGAACCCUGAUGCAGCGACGCCGCGUGGGUGAAGAAGCGCCUCGGCGCGUAAAGCCCUGUUAGCAGGGAAGAAAAUGACGGUACCUGAAGAAGAAGCCCCGGCUAAAUACGUGCCAGCAGCCGCGGGAAUACGGAGGGGGCCAGCGUUAUCCGGAUUUACGGGGUGUAAGGGGGGCGCAGACGGCGGUGCAAGCCAGGAGUGAAAGCCCGGGGCCCAACCCCGGGACUGCUCUUGGAACUGCGUGGCUUGAGUGCAGGAGGGGCAGGCGGAAUUCCUGGUGUAGCGGUGAAAUGCGUAGAUAUCAGGAGGAACACCGGUGGCGAAGGCGGCCUGCUGGACUGCAACUGACGUUGAGGCCCGAAAGCGUGGGGAGCAAACAGGAUUAGAUACCCCUGUAGUC
RNAcentral lists this ribosomal RNA (440 nucleotides) under uncultured bacterium. RNAcentral describes it as "partial 16S ribosomal RNA". It matches the Rfam family "Bacterial small subunit ribosomal RNA", at positions 338 to 795 of the family's 1533-position model. The record is from RNAcentral.